UCUAAGCAGUAAAACGAAAUCCUUAAGUUGGGUUAUGGCGGAGUGUAGUUUUUUUGACUGCACUAAUAGUUCGUAAACACCACACAGGAAGUAGGAAAAGAACUACAUUUCCCAUCUGCCCUGGCUGUCAGAGGCUAAUAGCACCAGCUGCUUUCCAUUGCCCUAAUGAAUGAUUCUACUGCUGCAACGAGACCAAAUACAACGAAAGUAUUGAUGCUGCAAAAGAAGACGGAUCUUUUGGUAGGCUGGUUAAUGAUGACCACAAGCACCCAAAUGGCAGAAUGCAGAAGACUGAAGUGGAUGGAAGCCCACAUCUUGGUCUGUUUGCUUUAACAGACUUUAAAGAAGGUGAUGAAUUACCUGCAAUUACGGAGGAGGAGACUGGCCUUGGUGUAGCAAGAUUAUGGAGGAGGACACUGCUGAGAGCAAUGGCCAGGAGAAACAGCAG
This is a long non-coding RNA of Ictalurus punctatus (channel catfish), 448 nucleotides long. NCBI's taxonomy places the organism in Eukaryota, Metazoa, Chordata, Actinopteri, Siluriformes, Ictaluridae. The record is from Ensembl.